Zootoca vivipara (common lizard) is the source of this 445-nucleotide non-coding RNA. The record is from RefSeq and is a predicted model, not a curated record. Lineage: Eukaryota; Metazoa; Chordata; Lepidosauria; Squamata; Lacertidae.
AGCAGUGCAAUAAGAUGGUCCAGUAUCCUCCCAGAUGAAAAUUUGUGGAGCUCCAUGGACGAUGGACUCUCCUGGGGCUUGCCCAUCCAUGACAUGCUAUUGCCCAAAAACCAGUCUGUUGGAGAAACCUAUGGAUUAAAUGAUUUGUUACAUCAAAUGGCCUCAUUUCAAUAGGUCUUUUCAUUUAAGAGGCACGAAGAAAAAGAUUCUGCCAUUUACAUAACUUGAACAUAAGAUAAACACUGUUAUCCUUUGAGAUGCACCAUCCACAUGUUCUUGUUGUUCUAUAAAGCUAAAAACGGAAAUAUGCGCAUAAACACCAGAGCUGCUUGGACUCUCUUAAGGUAUUCUUUCUUAAGGUAGACUUGUUAAUGUUAUUUCCUUUGAACAGCUGAUUUUUCUCUGGCCCCGUCAGAAACUGCUUUUGAAACCUCCCCUUCAUGGA